UCUUCCGCAAUGGACGAAAGUCUGACGGAGCAACGCCGCGUGAGGGGUGAAGGUUUUCGGAGCGUAAAACUCUGUUGUUAGGGUAGAACAAGUACCGUCCGAAUAGGGCGACACCUUGACGGUACCUAACCAGAAAGCCACGGCAAACUACGUGCCAGCAGCCGCGGUAAUACGUAGGUGGCAAGCGUUGUCCGGAAUUAUUGGGCGUAAAGCGCGCGCAGGCGGUUUCUUAAGUCUGAUGUGAAAGCCCCCGGCUCAACCGGGGAGGGUCAUUGGAAACUGGGGAACUUGAGUGCAGAAGAGGAGAGUGGAAUUCCACGUGUAGCGGUGAAAUGCGUAGAGAUGUGGAGGAACGCCAGUGGCGAAGGCGACUCUCUGGUCUGUAACUGACGCUGAGGCGCGAAAGCGUGGGGAGCGAACAG
This 422-nucleotide ribosomal RNA is filed under the name uncultured bacterium. RNAcentral describes it as "bacterial SSU rRNA". It matches the Rfam family "Bacterial small subunit ribosomal RNA", at positions 362 to 775 of the family's 1533-position model. The record is from RNAcentral.